RNAcentral lists this ribosomal RNA (663 nucleotides) under uncultured cyanobacterium. RNAcentral's name for it is "bacterial SSU rRNA". It matches the Rfam family "Bacterial small subunit ribosomal RNA", at positions 99 to 795 of the family's 1533-position model. The record is from RNAcentral. Lineage: Bacteria; Bacillati; Cyanobacteriota.
CGGACGGGUGAGUAACGCGUGAGAAUCUGCCUUCAGGAUGGGGACAACAGUGGGAAACUGCUGCUAAUACCCAAUGUGCCGAGAGGUGAAAGUAAUUCGCCUGAAGAGGAGCUCGCGUCUGAUUAGCUAGUUGGUAGAGUAAAAGCCUACCAAGGCGACGAUCAGUAGCUGGUCUGAGAGGAUGAGCAGCCACACUGGGACUGAGACACGGCCCAGACUCCUACGGGAGGCAGCAGUGGGGAAUUUUCCGCAAUGGGCGAAAGCCUGACGGAGCAAUACCGCGUGAGGGAGGAAGGUUCAAGUAAUUGUAAACCUCUUUUCUCAGGGAAGAAAAAAAUGACGGUACCUGAGGAAAAAGCAUCGGCUAACUCCGUGCCAGCAGCCGCGGUAAUACGGAGGAUGCAAGCGUUAUUCGGAAUUAUUGGGCGUAAAGCGUCCGCAGGUGGUGAGACAAGUCCGCCGUUAAAGAAGGGAGCUUAACUCCCAAGAGGCGGUGGAAACUGUAGCACUAGAGACCGGUAGGGGUAGAGGGAAUUCCCAGUGUAGCGGUGAAAUGCGUAGAGAUUGGGAAGAACACCAGUGGCGAAAGCGCUCUACUGGGCCGGAACUGACACUAAGGGACGAAAGCUAGGGGAGCGAAAGGGAUUAGAUACCCCUGUAGUC